GUGCCAGCCGCCGCGGUAAUACGUAGGGCGCAAGCGUUGUCCGGAAUUAUUGGGCGUAAAGAGUUCGUAGGCGGUCUGUCGCGUCCGUUGUGAAAGCCCAGGGCUCAACCCUGGGUCUGCAGUGGAUACGGGCAGACUAGAGUCAGGUAGGGGAGAACGGAAUUCCUGGUGUAGCGGUGAAAUGCGCAGAUAUCAGGAGGAACACCGGUGGCGAAGGCGGUUCUCUGGGCCUGUACUGACGCUGAGGAACGAAAGCGUGGGGAGCGAACAGGAUUAGAAACCCCUGUAGUCC
RNAcentral lists this ribosomal RNA (292 nucleotides) under uncultured bacterium. Its description in RNAcentral is "partial 16S ribosomal RNA". It matches the Rfam family "Bacterial small subunit ribosomal RNA", at positions 505 to 796 of the family's 1533-position model. The record is from RNAcentral.